AUUGAACGCUGGCGGCAUGCCUUACACAUGCAAGUCGAACGGCAGCGGACCUUCGGGUGCCGGCGAGUGGCGAACGGGUGAGUAAUAUAUCGGAACGUACCUUUCAGUGGGGGAUAACGUAGCGAAAGUUACGCUAAUACCGCAUAUUCUGUGAGCAGGAAAGCAGGGGAUCGCAAGACCUUGCGCUGAUUGAGCGGCCGAUAUCAGAUUAGCUAGUUGGUGAGGUAAAGGCUCACCAAGGCGACGAUCUGUAGCGGGUCUGAGAGGAUGAUCCGCCACACUGGAACUGAGACACGGUCCAGACUCCUACGGGAGGCAGCAGUGGGGGAAUUUUUGGACAAUGGGCGGCAGGCCUGAUCCAGCCAUGCCGCGUGAGUGAAGAAGGCCUCG
This 390-nucleotide ribosomal RNA is filed under the name uncultured bacterium. Its description in RNAcentral is "bacterial SSU rRNA". It matches the Rfam family "Bacterial small subunit ribosomal RNA", at positions 30 to 419 of the family's 1533-position model. The record is from RNAcentral.